This 253-nucleotide ribosomal RNA is filed under the name uncultured bacterium. RNAcentral describes it as "partial 16S ribosomal RNA". It matches the Rfam family "Bacterial small subunit ribosomal RNA", at positions 524 to 776 of the family's 1533-position model. The record is from RNAcentral.
UACGUAGGGACCGAGCGUUGUCCGGAUUCAUUGGGCGUAAAGAGCUCGUAGGCGGCCACUCAAGUCGAAUGUGAAACCUCGAGGCUUAACCUCGAGCCUGCAUUUGAUACUGGGCGGCUAGAGUCUGGUAGGGGGAUCUGGAAUUCCUGGUGUAGCGGUGGAAUGCGCAGAUAUCAGGAGGAACACCGGUGGCGAAGGCGGGUCUCUGGGCAGUAACUGACGCUGAGGAGCGAAAGCGUGGGGAGCGAACAGG